GUCAGGACGGCCAAGCGGUCCAAGGCGCUGCAUUCAGUUUGCAGUCUCCCCUGGAGGCAUGGGUUCGAAUCCCACUCCUGACA
This 83-nucleotide transfer RNA is filed under the name Trichechus manatus latirostris (Florida manatee). RNAcentral describes it as "tRNA-Leu (CAG) (tRNA-Leu-CAG-6-1)". It matches the Rfam family "tRNA". From Rfam's summary of the family: Transfer RNA (tRNA) molecules are approximately 80 nucleotides in length. The record is from Rfam by way of RNAcentral. Lineage: Eukaryota; Metazoa; Chordata; Mammalia; Sirenia; Trichechidae.